Phragmites australis (common reed) is the source of this 1923-nucleotide RNA transcript. It is a transcript of the gene named E3 ubiquitin-protein ligase At1g63170-like, with no coding region annotated. The transcript has 6 exons. The record is from RefSeq and is a predicted model, not a curated record. Lineage: Eukaryota; Viridiplantae; Streptophyta; Magnoliopsida; Poales; Poaceae.
GAUGCCCCCUCCCCUUCCCAGUUCCCACCCCUUUCCGCAGGGGAGAAAGGUUACAGAGAUGCGCUCACCUUCCCCGCGAUCUCGCUAGGGUUCCCGCGAUGGCGACACCGCGUUCCCCGGGCCCCCGAGGAGAUGCGCUCCUGGACUCGGCGCCGCUCCUUGGUGGCGGUGGGAGGCGUCGGUGGGGCGCGCUACGCCGGCCGUCGCUCCGGGGAGCGGCGCGGCUGCUGCGGAGGGGCGGUCGCCGGGCGAUGCGGGAGCCGUCGCUGCUGGUGCGGGAGGCCGCGGCGGAGCAGCUGGAGGAGCGGCAGGCCGGCUGGGCCUACUCCCGCCCCGUGCUGGCCCUUGACCUUCUCUGGAACCUCGCCUUCAUCCUCGUCUCCGCCGUCGUGCUCGUGCUCAGCCUCGACGAAAGCCCCUCCAUGCCGCUCCGCUUCUGGAUCGCCGGGUACGCCGCCCAGUGCAUUGUCCACAUGGUCUGCGUCGCCAUCGAGCAUCGUAUGCGCCACGGCCAGCGCGGCGGGGCCCCAAUGCCCUCUGACGAGGAGAGCGGAAGUGACGCAUCGUCCUCAUCCAGCGACGACGACGAUGGCGAGCGCGUUUCCCGUGGUCGCAGUGGCGAUUGUGUCAGUAUAGCGAAACAGCUGGAGUCUACUAACACAAUGUUCUCGUUCAUGUGGUGGAUAAUUGGAUUUUACUGGGUAUCUGUUGGCGGACAAGUCCUUACCCAUGAUGCACCUCAACUUUACUGGCUUUGCAUCGUCUUUCUGGCAUUUGAUGUUUUCUUUGUCGUCUUUUGUGUUGCUUUGGCUUGCAUCAUUGGCAUUGCUGUUUGCUGCUGCCUUCCUUGUAUCAUAGCAAUUUUAUAUGCAGUGUCUGAUCAGGAGGGAGCAUCUGAAGAUGACAUUCGCCAAAUUCCAAAAUACAAAUUUCGUAGGGUGGAAACGCCUGAAAAGCAGUCUGUCAAUGUGACUGGAACUUCUGGUGGAAUAAUGAUAGAAUGUGGCACCAACCAACCUAUUGAAAAAGCACUUGCAGCUGAAGACGCGGAGUGUUGCAUUUGUCUCUCAGCGUAUGAUGAUGGUGCAGAACUCCGUGAACUCCCCUGUGACCACCAUUUUCACUGUGCUUGCAUUGAUAAGUGGCUGCACAUCAACGCCACAUGCCCAUUAUGCAAAUACAACAUUCAGAAAAACGCCAGCAGCAGUGGCAGCGAAGAAGUAUAAAUCUCCAUGUGAGAAUAUCAAGCAUUCUUAUCCAUCCUUACCGGUUUGUAUCACUGGUACAUCUCAUUCAGAACUCGUCGUAUUGGUUCACGUUUUUAUAAUAUCUAUUGAACUGCAACCCGAGUGUGCCUGCUUGUUUGUGUAGUCUACUUAUGUUUUAGUAAUAAUACUACGAAGACAAAUUGUGGCUUGAUUCAUUCUGUCACAAAAUAGUCCGCAUGCUGGCCAGGGAGGGUAAGAGCUUGUGUAUUACCUUGUUUACUAAAGUUAAGGUUUUGUUUUGUUGUAGGGCCUGUAACAUGAUGCUAGUUUAAAGCUAGGUACCCGCUGGUGGGUGGAUUAUGCUCCGGAUUUUGUCUUUCGUCAGGUGCUUAGAGAUUUAUCUAUGCACCAACUCCGUACAGAACAAAUAUCACUUGAAUGGAGGUUAUUCAAGCAAUUGACUGAUGGAAUUAGUUCAAUCGUAGUGAAAUAUGCCCGUCCUAUUUAACAUUUAUUGCAGUGACAUACAUAUCGAGUUACCAACCUUCAGGUCAGACAAUGGCCCCUGGUAUUGGAGUAGGACAUGGAUCCUCUGUAGUACUGCAGAGUGCAUGGUCUAUAUGUUAAUGACUCUGUAGUACUGUAAGGAUUCCGAUGCAAUGGAGCAUACUCCAAAAAUAUGAGAUUGGAAAUAUCAGAGUUUCAAUCCGAUAAA